UACGUAGGGUGCGAGCGUUAAUCGGAAUUACUGGGCGUAAAGCGUGCGCAGGCGGUUCGUUGUGUCGGCGGUGAAAGCCCCGGGCUCAACCUGGGAAUGGCCGUUGAAACUGGCGAACUGGAGUGUGGCAGAGGGGGGUGGAAUUCCGCGUGUAGCAGUGAAAUGCGUAGAGAUGCGGAGGAAUACCGAUGGCGAAGGCAGCCCCCUGGGCUGACACUGACGCUCAGGCACGAAAGCGUGGGGAGCAAACAGG
RNAcentral lists this ribosomal RNA (253 nucleotides) under uncultured bacterium. Its description in RNAcentral is "partial 16S ribosomal RNA". It matches the Rfam family "Bacterial small subunit ribosomal RNA", at positions 524 to 776 of the family's 1533-position model. The record is from RNAcentral.